UCCCUCAUAGCUCAGUCGGUAAAGAAUCUGCCUGCAAUGCAGGAGACCUGGGUUUGAUUCCUGGGUCGGGAA
RNAcentral lists this transfer RNA (72 nucleotides) under Ovis aries (sheep). It matches the Rfam family "tRNA". From Rfam's summary of the family: Transfer RNA (tRNA) molecules are approximately 80 nucleotides in length. Their secondary structure includes four short double-helical elements and three loops (D, anti-codon, and T loops). Further hydrogen bonds mediate the characteristic L-shaped molecular structure. tRNAs have two regions of fundamental functional importance: the anti-codon, which is responsible for specific mRNA codon recognition, and the 3' end, to which the tRNAs corresponding amino acid is attached (by aminoacyl-tRNA synthetases). tRNAs cope with the degeneracy of the genetic code in two manners: having more than one tRNA (with a specific anti-codon) for a particular amino acid; and 'wobble' base-pairing, i.e. permitting non-standard base-pairing at the 3rd anti-codon position. Lineage: Eukaryota; Metazoa; Chordata; Mammalia; Artiodactyla; Bovidae. RNAcentral also lists the same sequence under 1 other name. The record is from Rfam by way of RNAcentral.